UACAAUAGAUUUUUGUUAUUGACAGAAAAAACCGUAUUCGAACUGGUCGCAAAAUUGUGCAUAUUUUUGUGUAGAUAACUGCUGUUAUAGAAGAUUUUAGUCGUGUUUUGUCACAAUUUUGGUUGUUAAGCACUGGUGUGUUGAAAAAUCUUCAAAGUUGAAAAGUCAAAAUUAUUAUAAAAAUUGCGGAAAAUUUGAAAUAAAACGAAAAUCUUUGCUUGAAAUCGUAAAAAUAAUGAAGCACCUCUGCUACACAAUAUGUGGUGCGGAAUUAUAAAACCACAGGUGAAGCAAACAAAGUAUUAGGAAAUAUAAAUUGAUCGAAGCUAACAAAAAGAAAUCAUUCAUUCCUACGUCCUAAAUUCCUAAGUAUCUUACCGUAGGUGGCACAGAACAGAUAUAAAGGUAUAAAUAGGUUAGGACAUAGAAAAAAGUUGUUUUCGAAUAAAUUAUGUACUCAACAAGAUUUUACUAGGAAACAAUUAACGGAGCUUUUAGGUUAUCAAGAUUUAAGAGACGGAGACGUUAUUUCCCAGCAAGUAGAAGUAAAUCAUCGGAAAUACCAGUAGGUAUUUCUAUAUCUUUCUGGUGAAGAUUCGGGGGGCAUCAUGUAAGAUAAUUUGUGGGCAUGCUGUUAGAAAAUCAUUCAUAACUAUAAUUAACAAACGAAAACGGUAUGGAUAUAAAUCCUGCGGGAGAAAUUUGAAUUAUCUUUUAAAUUUGAAAUUUAAAUGUCAAAAUUAAUUUUAUUUAUUUAUUUUCAUUAUAUUUGUAUACAAAAUCACACUAUACAGAACACAAUGAUUAAAACAUUGUACACUACGUAAAAACGAUCGAAUCUAAAUUGUUUUAAUUCACGUCAACUUGCCCUGAUUGUCUGGUACCAAACAAAAACGGCUAUGGUAUCCAAAAAUUAAUACUGAAACACCUAGAGAAAAUUGUGAUUUUCUCACACACGUAGAUGUAUAUUAUUCAUUAUAUAUAUUUUUUCGGAAUUUUGGCAGUACAUUUUCAUUAGAAACUAUCUUCUGGUUUGUUUUCUUUCUACGAUACAGAGUGAUUUACAAAAUCUACAAAGGGAACGAUAGAUAAAAACUGAUUACUGUGAGGUAUAUUUUCUCAUUCUGAAUCUACUUUUAUUUGUUUUUCCAUAAAUCACCCUGUGUACAACGUGGAUCGACGUCCAGAUUCUUUUCUUUUUAAAUUGCAAGAAUAUCAAUGAUCUUUAUUUUUUUUCGUAUUUAACAAUUUAGCAAUCUAUAAAUUAUCAACACAACUAUAUCUUUUAUAAAAUUAUUUAUAUUAUUAUUAUUAGUUUAUAUUUGUGCAUAAAAAGUUCGUUUUUUUAUUUAAAUCUUUAUCUUGCCCUCGAAAUAUUACUUAUUCUGUUGAACACUUGCAAAAAUUGUUUCAAUUGAUUAGAAGACUGUAUUCUAAUUCAUAAUCUAAAAAACUAAAACCUGAAUCGACGAUUUAUCAUUGAUUCCAUCUAAAUGUAGUGAGUUUGUGUUGUUUCUGUGCAUUUUCUAACAGUGCCAUAAAAUCGUUAACAAUCAAUAAUUGUAUUAAAGCUUUCAAGUACAUAAUAUCUAUCGAGGAAUAUUUAAUUAUACGAGUUUAAGAGUCUUUUCUCCUGUGCAACAUAACUUUAAACUUAAUUUUCUUCUUUUAUAUUGAAUAUAGUAUUGAAAUAAAAUUUGAUGGAAUCAAUGAAGUUUGCAUUUUCUUAAUAGGACCGUUAAUUAUUAUAUCAAAACAUUUCUAUCAUCUUUUUUUAUAACCUAAGAAUCUCAAACAACUUUUUUUACUAAGAAAAAUAGAUUUACCAUUUCCUUUUUCUCUACAUUCGCGUUGACAAUACAAUUUACAAUUUUUUUUUAUUAUUUCGUUUUCAAUUUCUCAUCCAUUAUACAAUGCUUUUUUGUAUGACAAUGAUUAUAUUAUUACAAAUUACAAUAAUAAAGAAGUACACUUUAUACAGGUGUUUAUUUUUUAAUCCCCUACGGCGUUAUUACUUUGACACUAUCAAUUCCAAGUAUUUAUGUAUUAAAUAAAUUCUUCUAUAUCCAAUUAAUUAAUUAAUUAAUUAAGAGACAAGCUUAAAAAAUAAACACCUGUACAUACAGGAAAUUAUUGAAUUAAGUGCAUAUGUUUGUAUGUAGAGCAUAUCUUAAUUAUGUUUUUACUUUUUCUUUGUGUUUGGGAACAUGAUUAUUUAAGUUUAUUCAGAUCAAUGAUAUUAGGUGUUUUUAUAAAACUGUGAUAAAAUAAUUUAAAACUUUAAUAACAACAACAUAAUUAAACAACCAUCAUUAAUCCUUUAACGAACGUUUAAAAUAAUUAUUAAAAAAUCUGUUUUAUUGUAAUUUUAUUAUCUAAUUCAUCUUAAAAAUCUUUUAAAACAGACUCAAACACAUCAAUUUAAAACAAACUCAAACAGAUCAAUCUGUCUCAAAUGGGACUGAGAAGUCCCCCUAGACCUACUAGUUCAGUUCUUAGAUCUCUGACUCAGGAAAGAUUUGUCCUGAAUAUGGGGCUGAGAAUAUAAUAAAAAAAA
This 2557-nucleotide long non-coding RNA is filed under the name Onthophagus taurus. Its description in RNAcentral is "uncharacterized LOC111418904, transcript variant X1". The record is from RNAcentral. Lineage: Eukaryota; Metazoa; Arthropoda; Insecta; Coleoptera; Scarabaeidae.